RNAcentral lists this ribosomal RNA (256 nucleotides) under uncultured bacterium. Its description in RNAcentral is "partial 16S ribosomal RNA". It matches the Rfam family "Bacterial small subunit ribosomal RNA", at positions 521 to 776 of the family's 1533-position model. The record is from RNAcentral.
UAAUACGGAGGGUGCAAGCGUUAAUCGGAAUUACUGGGCGUAAAGAGCGCGUAGGCGGUUUGUUAAGUCGGGUGUGAAAUCCCUGGGCUCAACCUGGGAACUGCAUUCGAUACUGGCAAGCUAGAGUACGAUAGAGGGGGGUAGAAUUCCCGGUGUAGCGGUGAAAUGCGUAGAUAUCGGGAGGAAUACCAGUGGCGAAGGCGACCCCCUGGAUUGAUACUGACGCUGAGGCGCGAAAGCGUGGGGAGCAAACAGG